This 3098-nucleotide long non-coding RNA is filed under the name Canis lupus familiaris (dog). Its description in RNAcentral is "lncRNA (ENSCAFG00000055366.1)". The record is from RNAcentral. Lineage: Eukaryota; Metazoa; Chordata; Mammalia; Carnivora; Canidae.
UUUUUUUUUUUUUAAGAUUUUAUUUAUUCAUAACAGACAGAGAGGCAGAGACACAGGCAGAGGGAGAGGGAGAGAAGCAGGCUCCAUGCAGGGAGCCCGACGUGGGACUCAAUCCCGGGACCCCAGGAUCACAUCCCCGGCCGAUGGCGGGGCCAAACCGCUGGGCCACCGGGGCUGCCCCGAUCUGAGGUUUUCUUAAAGGAUGAACACCUAGGAAAUAAAUCGCUGAGAUAAUAAAAUGAGGUCUCACAACACAAAUCCAAAUAAUCACGAGUUCCGGCGAAUCGGGCCUCAAAUUCCAUAGUAGCAACAUUUGGCCAGAGCUGUGGGCAUCCCAGGCACGCACACCCCCAUUCUCUCGUGCACCCCAGCUUUACUGGAGUCUGACGUGCAGGCUUCAGACCCCUUUCCCGGGACAUGGCAAACCAAACCGCAAGGAGUCUAGGCGCACCUGUCGGGGGUCAGGGACACAGCGGGUCCAUGGAUGCAAAGAACUUAAUAUGGGGAAGUAGGUAUAAAAGCUCAAAUGGGACCGAUCACACUGACACCUCACGCCCUGGGCUUCUGCUCUAGGUCCUUACAGGUGGGAGCCAGGGCCUGGGGGACGGGGGUGGGGAGUUAGGGUCUGGUGGGGACACAGGUUCCAUUGUGAAGACCGAGAAAGUUCUGAAGACAGGUGGUGGCGGUGGCUGCACAACCAUGUGGAUGUACCCAAUGACCCCAGAUUGGACACUUAAACCCGGUCAAAUGGGAAGUCUGAUGCUGUGUGUAUUGGAAGGCGACGCUAAAUGAUUAUUUCUUUGAAGACCCAAUGGGGGAACAAUGAGGCAGCCAGAAGUAAACACGGUGUAGGGCGGAGCUGGUAUUAUGGGACCCAGAGGGAGCUGUUGGGAGCCUCGCAGGUGACACUGUGUAUGGCAAAAACAAAAGGAGGGGGGAGAGUCAGCUUCUCCCCUCCUCCUGGUGGUGCCCUCUCCCACCAGCGAGGACUCCGCAGCCUGAAGCCAGCAGGACCCCGACCCCCACCCCGACACACACACACCCGCCUUACAGGGCAAAGGGAGGGAGAGCAGGGAGGGCUGGGAAGCAGGUGACCCCGGGUGCAGGGCGGUGGGGUGGGAAGGAGCACAUCCCGGGCCGAGCCACCUAGGCUCCCAGGUUGAGAUGGGGGGGGUGUCUCGCAUGCCUUGGAGCCUCAGUUUCCCCAGCUGAAGCUGGGGCCAGGGCUAAUCCCCAGCUCCCAGGCUCAGAGCCCGUGCGGGGCCCUGCACAGGCCUGGAGAAGAAGGCCCGGAGCCAGGGGACUGUCAUGUUCGCUGUGUCCACAGGGUGGCACUUCCUUCCUUCCUUCCGCCCUUUGUCUUGGGAAGGUUCCAAAAUGCCUCUGGGGGUGAAGGCUGAACGGGCGCCCGGGAAGCGCGGGCCGGAGGCCGCUCGAUAAUUGGUUGAUUGACUGAUUCCAAGCUCAGCCGCGCGGCAAACGGGCCAAAUGAGCGUAAAUGGCCCGGCAAACCGAAGGGGCCUGGAGGUGACCCGGGAGCAGGCGGGGAGGGGGCAGGACGUGGUCCCCGUGUCCCCGCGGAGGGCGCCGCCCGCAGCCAGAGGGGCGGGCGCUUCUGGUCUCUGGCCUCGGCCGUUUGCUGCUCCAGAACGAGUGACCGGCUUCCUUCCUCGGGGCCCCCGCGGCGACACUGCAUGUGAGCCACAUGCAGGACUCAGAGCUUCAUGACAAGUGACAGCAAGCCGUUGGCGGGGAUGAACGUGGCUGCUCCCCAGCGCGGCCCCUGAGCACAGGGCAGUGUCAAGCGCCCAUUUCACAGAUGGGCAAGGGGAGGCUCGGGUGGCUGGGCUCAGCCCACACGGCUCGGGGAGGACCGAGAGGCCACCCCUUGCCUUCCCCUACAGGCCGCGAGGGGUGGGGGGCGUUCUUGGGGCUCGGACAGGGUCCCCUACCGGAAGGCCCCCGGCAGGACUCCAGGCCUGCACGCACCGCCAGCUCCCGGCCUGUGGGCUCAGCACCAGAGCACCGCGACGGAGCCGGUUCUGGGGGGCACAGGACUCUGCAGCUCGGGGCACUGUCACCCCCAAGGACAGGGUGGGGGGCUGGCAGUCCCCUGCGCCUUGGCUCUGAGGGCUCAGCAGCUCCGGCCAGGGCAGGGUGGGUGGCGCGAGGAAGCUGCUCCCCUGGGCUUGGUACCCCCAACUCUGUCCUCUGCUGCCCCCCACCCCCACCGGCGGCCCAAACCACAGCUGCCUGCGGUGAGUCAGGCUGGAGCCUGCGGGGCGAGCCCAGGUCCGGGGGGUGUGGGGGGGAGGGCUGCCCGCACCCUGCAGCUUCCCCAGCCAGCCCCCCUCCACUGUGGGGGGCCAGGACCUCCUUCGGGCCCCCCGGAAGUGAAUUCUCCGACGGCGGGGUGUGGGAGAGGCUGAGGGCCCCGACGGGGGGUGAGCCCUGGGCACACCAUCCACCCCCGAGCGGGGCAGCGGCCGGGGCGGGAGGGGUUGGAGGCGGGGCAGCCCUGGGACUCCUGGGUCUGGUCCAGCCUCCCCUCCAGGCGGCUCGGGUUUCAGCCCCGCUUCCUGCCCUGGUGGAGGGGCUCCCUCCUCCCCGAGCCCCGCCCUCCCAGGCCCAGCUGCUCUGCUCACCCUGGCCUCUGCUCCCACGCUGGGCCCGGGACGGAGUGGGGAGAGCUAGGGGGUUCACAGCAAGACCAGCCCCCUAGAAACGCGGGGCUAGAGCAGGGUGGCCUGCGCUCAAAGGUCGUCAUCAGACUCCCUUUUCCUGGGUCCCAACUCUGGGGUCCUGCCUGACAUCUGAAAUCCCCCGCGGAUCUUCUUGUGGACUGCAGGCCCAGUGUGAUCCAGCAACCACUCCCUCCUCCCAACCCUGCGUGAUCCAGCCCCUUGCCCCACAGUUCCUGCAGGCCUCUUUGCUACCUCUGAGCACUCACUUUGCACUGGCUGUUCCCUCUGCCUGGAUCACCACCUCCACACUUCCGUCUCCUAGGGGCUCAAGUCUGGGCUCCAGUGACACCUCCUCUCCAGGGCCUCCUACAGAGCCUCCCCCGACAGCAACAGCAUUGAUCACUAGCUGAAAGU